This is a long non-coding RNA of Lingula anatina, 2160 nucleotides long. Lineage: Eukaryota; Metazoa; Brachiopoda; Lingulata; Lingulida; Lingulidae. The record is from RefSeq and is a predicted model, not a curated record.
GAAAUGAGUGUAGUGAAGUAAUGAAUCAUACCAUCCAAUUUCAUCUAACACCUAAAUACCUUCCUUUUCAGUGCUAUUAAUCUGCUGCUGAAGCAGGGAAAAGUGAAAGAGGUUCACAAAGCAUACCAGAAGGCAGUUGGAAGUCUCCAGUACACCGUGUCUUUAUGGAAAGAUUUCAUCCUGUUUGCCAUCAGUCAACAAGCAGCAGAGGUUGUAACCAAGUUGAUAGAGGAGUGCAACCGUUUAGAAGUGAACAUUGCUCCCUUUGUUGCCACUAUACUCAAACUUUCUUGAAGCCCAAGAACCAGUUGUAAUAUUAGAGCCCUGUCAAUGAUUAGAUUAUUGUCCUUUUACAUUAAAUAUAGCCCAUUAAAUUUUAUUUAUUUUUAAAUUCUUCUGAAAUGGUGUAAACAGGUCAGAGAUAUUUCAACUUUUAAGUGAAUAUUAAGAGUUGCAAAUUGCUUGUUAAAGAAAAUCUUUUUUUUUUUUUAACGUUUGGCAGCAUGGACUUAUUAUCCUGCAAAUCUGAAUUUUGACCUGAAAAUUUAAAACAUUUGAAGGCUGGGAAGAUCUAAUAAUAAUAAAAAAGUAACUUUUUAUCACAAACUUGCAGGCCAAACCACACAGUUGUUGGUCUUGUGCUCCCUGGCAAAGUGUGAAAAUGAACUAAUAUUGAAAGAAAAUAUUCAGUAUGACAGAACUGAAAACCUAUCACACUGCCCUUCGGUAAUGUUUAUGGUAUCCUUGGCAACAGCAUGAUAACACCAGCAGUGAAGAAUGCCCAUACAACCUGGAGAGAUUGGAAUGAUUACUGCGCAGUAAGUAUGGUGAACAAAACCAGAUGGAAGUUCUGUUCAAACCCUCUCUGGUGUAUAUACAUAUAUGUGUAUGCUGAGACAGAUUGGUGAUGGAAAAAUCAAUGAGCUGAAAGUGCUUGUGCGAUUUGAGCCUCCACCAAAUCAACCAGGAAAUCAAUUAUUCUGUAUACAAGAGCAGUGUAAAUAAGCUUGUAAUUAAAUCGAAUAUGAAACCUCAUUCCUUAUGGAUUAUUUCUCAGCAAAUCUGAACAACCAGGUACUUCAUUUGCGACACAUAUGUUACACAUUUCUGUAAACUGCAAAAUUCAUUGCGAUUUUGAAAGUAGUGGGGAAUUCAUGAUAGUCCCAGUUACUUGUGACUAUCAAAAACUGCUUACAGAUUGAAUCUUCCAUCUGAAUUUGUUCAUGUAUAUCUGCUUGGAGAUAUAUAACUAAAAAUGGUAUUAAUAAGCACAAGUGACAUUGUUUUGUUUUGCAUAACUAUGUAUAAUCUAGAUUUUUUGUUGAUAAUGGCAGUAUUGUGUCUUUGUUGUUGUUGUUGUGCUAACUUGAGUUGAGAUUCCAGCCAGCAAACAAGAUGUUGGUCUACUUAAUAAUGGUGGUGUACUCCAGAACAGUUUAUUGAGCUGGAAAGUUUGAUACAGUAACAAAUUGAUGCACUCUACAGCUGCUUGCGGAUCUUGUGCUCUACUGCACUGGAGUUUAAUGCUUCACUUCCUGUAUUUCUACAAGAAUUGUUCACUGAUGAUUUGAUAUACUGAGACCUCCAGUGCACUAUGGAACAUUGUGCCUGUAAGCAGACGUUGCUUGGCAUCGUUUUGAGUCACACCUGAGGAAAACUACAGACCUGUUAAAAUUUACUUAAGAAACAUCUCAUGAGUGCUUAUCAGAACGACGUAGUUAACAGUAGACAGAUAUAUUUAUCAUGUACUGGUAUUUCUCAUAUUUCCUGUUGUAGUUUAUGAAAACUUGAUUGAAGCUGCUUCAGGGCUUCUGAAUUUUUAUGAAAUUUUGGCUUCUUGUUUUGAGAGACAAAUAUGAAGCAAAAUUUUACAAAAAUACUAGACAUUAUUUGCAAAAAAUAGCUUUUACAUACAAAAAUAGACAAUGGCAAAGAAUUUUACUGAAAUAUUUUUGUGAAUGAACUUGAAAUGGUCAAAAUGUAAUUUUUUUAUUUUUGGUUGAGUAAUCUGUGAAAAUACCAUUUUUGGAAAUAUUGUACGCUUUAUUUAUUUAAACAAAUAAAUUAUGUUUACUACUAUGCUCUUUUGUUUUGCAUUAUUACUGAAUAAUUGCCAGCAUAAAUGGCAACAAUAUUGGAUUUACCAAAAAAAAAAAAAAA